This 253-nucleotide ribosomal RNA is filed under the name uncultured bacterium. Its description in RNAcentral is "partial 16S ribosomal RNA". It matches the Rfam family "Bacterial small subunit ribosomal RNA", at positions 524 to 776 of the family's 1533-position model. The record is from RNAcentral.
UACGGGGGGUGCGAGCGUUGUCCGGAAUCACUGGGCGUAAAGGGCGCGUAGGUGGUUUGAUAAGGGUGUGGUGAAAGUCCGGAGCUCAACUCCGGAUCUGCCGUGCCGACUGUCAAACUCGAGGGCUGUAGAGGCAGACGGAAUUCCUGGUGUAGCGGUGGAAUGCGCAGAUAUCAGGAGGAACACCGGUGGCGAAGGCGGGUCUCUGGGCAGUAACUGACGCUGAGGAGCGAAAGCGUGGGGAGCGAACAGG